This 513-nucleotide ribosomal RNA is filed under the name uncultured bacterium. RNAcentral's name for it is "partial 16S ribosomal RNA". It matches the Rfam family "Bacterial small subunit ribosomal RNA", at positions 28 to 507 of the family's 1533-position model. The record is from RNAcentral.
GACGAACGCUGGCGGCGUGCUUAACACAUGCAAGUCGAACGAAAAGAGGGAAAGAGCUUGCUCUUUCCGGAAUUGAGUGGCAAACGGGUGAGUAACACGUAAACAACCUGCCUUCAGGAUGGGGACAACAGACGGAAACGACUGCUAAUACCGAAUAAGUUCCAAGAGCCGCAUGGCCCAUGGAAGAAAAGGUGGCCUCUACCUGUAAGCUAUCGCCUGAAGAGGGGUUUGCGUCUGCUUAGCUGGUUGGAGGGGUAACGGCCCACCAAGGCGACGAUCAGUAGCCGGUCGGAGAGGAUGAACGGCCACACUGGAACUGAGACACGGUCCAGACUCCUACGGGAGGCAGCAGUGGGGAAUCUUCCGCAAUGGGCGAAAGCCUGACGGAGCAACGCCGCGUGAGUGAUGACGGCCUUCGGGUUGUAAAACUCUGUGAUCCGGGACGAAAAGGCAGAGUGCGAAGAACAAACUGCAUUGACGGUACCGGAAAAGCAAGCCACGGCUAACUACGUG